This 1247-nucleotide long non-coding RNA is filed under the name Heterocephalus glaber (naked mole-rat). RNAcentral describes it as "lncRNA (ENSHGLG00100041214.1)". The record is from RNAcentral. Lineage: Eukaryota; Metazoa; Chordata; Mammalia; Rodentia; Bathyergidae.
UCAUGAAAUGCAAAUAUCAGAGUGGUAGGAAGUGUAUGGGGGAGGUGCCCCCAGCAGAAAACACUUGGUUGAAAAGUUGAUCACUGUGCCUUGGUGUGAAGGGCAUGAAGAUGACAGACGAAGAGACAUAAGGUCUGAUGAAAUUCAGAGGCAGUUCAUUCCAAAGAUCCAAGGACAGACAGAAAUGUGACAGCAGACACGUGGCAGCAGGCUAAGUGGGUGGAAUGAAGAGACACGUCUUUGUUUAAAGUUCAUUUGAGACUGGUGUCAGUAGAACAGCAGCGAGAGGGAAGGCGGAAAAACGUUGGCAGGAAAAGCGCUGAUCUUCACAUCACCCGUGGGGGAGCCUGCUGCAAAUCCAAACAUGUCCUUCAAAACUCACAUGCACAACUCUUUGUUUCUGCAGACAGCUCUGCAUGUUGGAGAAAACCGUGAUCGAGGUGCCAUGCUGCAAGCAAUGAUCUGGCCCUCACCAGAUGCCAACCUACCAGCACCUUCAUCUUGGACUUCCAGCCUCCAGAACCAUGAGAAAUCAAUUUCUAUUAUCCAUAAAUUACCCAGUCAAUGGGAUUUUCUUAUAACACCAGAAAUGAAUUAAGACAGCCCCAGAAGUUCCUAUAAGUCCAUAAAGAAUCCAGAACUUACUUUUUGAGCCUCGGUUUAUUCAUCUGCAAAAUGGGAGACAUUAGCCUCUACAGGAAAUGUAGGGCUUUUUUCUCUUCUCACUUCUCUCCUCAGCCUGCAGUCCUGGCAGUCAGCCUGCAGGCAGGCAGAACUGCUGGCCUAUGGUGCUUGCAAUAGGUUGGGUUAGGUUGACAAGGGUGGUGUGUCCUUACCUCUCUCCGUGGAGACAGUACUCAUGUUUUUCUUUGCUCUGGGCCCUCGGGACCACUGUAAGCUCUUCUCUCCUUCUGAGCUCACUGCCAGCUGCAGACCGCUCUCUUCUCCUUACCUCCUCCCUGUGCAUACUCACCAUCCCCUUCCUGUGCUCUCAGUCACUUGCUCAGGCUAACCACCCUUGGUCACCACGAGAAAGUAACUCUGAGGCAUGAGUCUGUUGUCAACUCUCAGAGAAGCAUCUCAGUGCUGUCCUCCCUCCCCGUGCUGUGCACUAACUAGUUCCCUCCAGGCCUCCUCCAGCAGCUCUUUCAAGCCCCAGACACCCCUUCUUUCCACCUGUUCCUCGUUGAUCCCCCACCCUCAUCAUGAUCCAUUCCCAGCAAGCUCACAAAGACACUGGUGAGUAC